ACAAACCUUCAUAAGGUGAAACCGCGAACGGCUCAUUAUAACAGCUAUAAUUUACUAGACCUUGAGCAAUUACACGGAUACCUGUGGUAAUUCUAGAGCUAAUACGUGCACCUAAGUUGUUCCUCACGGAGCAAUGCAUUUAUUUGAGCAAAACCAGGCGGCUUCGGCCGUUUCUGUUGAUUCAGAAUAACUAAGCUGAUCGCAUGGGCUUGUCCCGGCGACGUGUCUUUCAAGUGUCUGCCUUAUCAACUUUCGAUGGUAGUGUACGUGACUACCAUGGUGUUGACGGGUAACGGAGGAUAAGGGUUCGACUCCGGAGAAGGGGCCUGAGAAAUGGCCACUACGUCUAAGGAUGGCAGCAGGCGCGCAAAUUACCCACUCUCAGUUCGAGGAGGUAGUGACGAAAAAUAACAAGGCCGUUCUCUUUGAGGCCGGCCAUUGGAAUGGGUACAACUUAAACCCUUUAACGAGUAUCAAUGAGAGGGCAAGUCUGGUGCCAGCAGCCGCGGUAAUUCCAGCUCUCAAAAUGCAUAGAACCAUUGCUGCGGUUAAAAAGCUCGUAGUUGGAUCUGUGCUGGCGACGUGGUCCGCCUUAACCGGCGGUACUGCGCUCGUCGGCUUUGGGCCGGUUUUCGGGCGGUCACCUUCACUGGUGGCCGUUCGUGGCUGGCUGGUUUACUUUGAGCAAAUCAGAGUGCUCAGCACAGGCGUCUCGCCGGAAUGUUCGUGCAUGGAAUAAUGGAAAAGGAUUUCGGUCCUCUUUUAUUGGUUUUGUGGACUGAGAUAAUGGUUAACAGAGACGGACGGGGGCAUUCGUAUUGCUGCGUGAGAGGUGAAAUUCUUGGACCGCAGCAGGACGGACUACAGCG
Molecule: ribosomal RNA, 869 nt
Filed under: Paratylenchus microdorus
Lineage: Eukaryota; Metazoa; Nematoda; Chromadorea; Rhabditida; Tylenchulidae
Description: SSU rRNA
Rfam family: Eukaryotic small subunit ribosomal RNA
Source: RNAcentral